GCAGUGGUAGUUCAGUGGUAGAAUUCUUGCCUUCUAUGCGGGAGACCUGGGCUCUAUUUUGAGCCAAUGCA
This 71-nucleotide transfer RNA is filed under the name Loxodonta africana (African savanna elephant). It matches the Rfam family "tRNA". From Rfam's summary of the family: Transfer RNA (tRNA) molecules are approximately 80 nucleotides in length. Their secondary structure includes four short double-helical elements and three loops (D, anti-codon, and T loops). The record is from Rfam by way of RNAcentral. Lineage: Eukaryota; Metazoa; Chordata; Mammalia; Proboscidea; Elephantidae.